AUCGCUUCUCGGCCUUUUGGCUAAGAUCAAGUGUAGUAUCAGAGGCUUUAGUUUACUCAGUAAAGCAGAUGUGUUUUGCAAUUCUC
Molecule: small nuclear RNA, 86 nt
Filed under: Bos grunniens (domestic yak)
Lineage: Eukaryota; Metazoa; Chordata; Mammalia; Artiodactyla; Bovidae
Description: U2 spliceosomal RNA (ENSBGRG00000010144.1)
Rfam family: U2 spliceosomal RNA
About the family: U2 is a small nuclear RNA (snRNA) component of the spliceosome (involved in pre-mRNA splicing).
Source: Rfam by way of RNAcentral